Molecule: non-coding RNA, 426 nt
Organism: Vicugna pacos (alpaca)
Lineage: Eukaryota; Metazoa; Chordata; Mammalia; Artiodactyla; Camelidae
Source: RefSeq, a predicted model, not a curated record
GGUCAUUGGACACCAGGACUCACAGGUGGCAUGAGGCGGAUGCAGCCUCGUAAACAACGAUGUCACCAGCCUUAAAUAACAGGGAUCAGGGAAUCGCAGGGACAAGCAGAUCUAUUUUGUUUCAGUACAAACAACCACAGCAAUGGGGGCAAUAACAUUACCACAUUUCCUCAUAAUGAGGGGUAUGAAAUUAGCCAGGAGUGGUGCAUUUGACAGUAAAGAACAUGAAGAGAUAAUUCCUGGACCUGAACAGGGUGUGAUGGUGCUGGGACACUACAGAGUCUUCCCAUGCACCAACUGGACAAUAAAUCCAUAAGAUGCUUUGGGAAGAGACCGGCAUUUGAAUCAGGAGACUGAGGGAAGAAGCAAGGCUGGGCAUCAUCCAAUCCACUGAGGACCCAAAGAGAGCAAAAAGGCAGAAGGGGG